This 562-nucleotide ribosomal RNA is filed under the name Candida tropicalis. Its description in RNAcentral is "eukaryotic LSU rRNA". It matches the Rfam family "Eukaryotic large subunit ribosomal RNA", at positions 50 to 618 of the family's 3401-position model. Lineage: Eukaryota; Fungi; Ascomycota; Pichiomycetes; Serinales; Debaryomycetaceae. The record is from RNAcentral.
GCGGAGGAAAAGAAACCAACAGGGAUUGCCUUAGUAGCGGCGAGUGAAGCGGCAAAAGCUCAAAUUUGAAAUCUGGCUCUUUCAGAGUCCGAGUUGUAAUUUGAAGAAGGUAUCUUUGGGUCUGGCUCUUGUCUAUGUUUCUUGGAACAGAACGUCACAGAGGGUGAGAAUCCCGUGCGAUGAGAUGAUCCAGGCCUAUGUAAAGUUCCUUCGAAGAGUCGAGUUGUUUGGGAAUGCAGCUCUAAGUGGGUGGUAAAUUCCAUCUAAAGCUAAAUAUUGGCGAGAGACCGAUAGCGAACAAGUACAGUGAUGGAAAGAUGAAAAGAACUUUGAAAAGAGAGUGAAAAAGUACGUGAAAUUGUUGAAAGGGAAGGGCUUGAGAUCAGACUUGGUAUUUUGUAUGUUACUUCUUCGGGGGUGGCCUCUACAGUUUAUCGGGCCAGCAUCAGUUUGGGCGGUAGGAGAAUUGCGUUGGAAUGUGGCACGGCUUCGGUUGUGUGUUAUAGCCUUCGUCGAUACUGCCAGCCUAGACUGAGGACUGCGGUUUAUACCUAGGAUGUGC